AUACGUAGGUGGCGAGCGUUGUCCGGAAUUACUGGGUGUAAAGGGCGUGUAGGCGGGGAUGCAAGUCAGAUGUGAAAUACUAAGGCUUAACCUUGGGGCUGCAUCUGAAACUGUGUUUCUUGAGUGUCGGAGAGGAAAGCGGAAUUCCCAGCGUAGCGGUGAAAUGCGUAGAGAUUGGGAGGAACACCAGUGGCGAAGGCGGCUUUCUGGACGACAACUGACGCUGAGGCGCGAAAGCGUGGGGAGCAAACAGGAUUAGAUACCCUGGUAGUCCACGCCGUAAACGAUGGAUACUAGGUGUAGGAGGUAUCGACCCCUUCUGUGCCGGAGUUAACGCAAUAAGUGUCCCGCCUGGGGAGUACGGUCGCAAGACUGAA
This 377-nucleotide ribosomal RNA is filed under the name uncultured bacterium. RNAcentral's name for it is "bacterial SSU rRNA". It matches the Rfam family "Bacterial small subunit ribosomal RNA", at positions 523 to 898 of the family's 1533-position model. The record is from RNAcentral.